Molecule: ribosomal RNA, 565 nt
Filed under: uncultured bacterium
Lineage: Bacteria
Description: bacterial SSU rRNA
Rfam family: Bacterial small subunit ribosomal RNA
Source: RNAcentral
AGAAAAUAGAUACCUGGUAGUCCACGCUGUAAACGAUGGGUACUAGGUUUGGUGGGUCUUGACCCCCGCCGAAACCGGCGCUAAACGCACUAAAGUACCCCGCCUGGGAAGUACGGUCGCAAGACUAAAACUCAAAGGAAUUGACGGGGGCCCGCACAAGCGGUGGAUCAUGUGGUUUAAUUCGAAGCAACGCGAAAAACCUUACCUGGGUUUGACAUCCCCGGACCGCUGUAGAAAUACAGUUUCAGUAGCAAUACUGCCGGGUGACAGGUGCUGCAUGGCUGUCGUCAGCUCGUGUGGUGAUAUGUUGGGUUAAGUCCCGCAACGAGCGCAACCCUUAUCUUUAGUUGCCAGCAUUUAGUUGGGCUCUCUAGAGAGACUGCCGUGGUUAACACGGAGGAAGGUGGGGAUGACGUCAAGUCCUCAUGGCCUUUAUAUCCAGGGCGACACACGUGAUACAAUGGACGGUACGGAGGGAAGCCAACCCGCGAGGGGGAGCUAAUCUCAAAAACGCCGUUCUCAGUUCGGAUUGGAGUCUGCAACUCGACUCCAUGAAGUUGGAAUC